UUUCGCGGAGCAGUACAUGUGCAGUAGCUCCGCCCCCGUAGCCUUCCCUUCAUUGCCAAGAAAAGUUGUCCUUGGGGGCGCUUUAGUUGUUUGACGGGUGCACGAUGCGCGCGGUUUGUGUGUGUGUGUGCCAUGCCGUGUUCUGCAAUGCUUCGUUACCACGUUUAUCGAUUAUGCACGUUGGUUACUUGAUUCAAUGUCAAGUGUACCUUCCAAGACGAUCUAGGUCCUAGUCUCGUGACUGAAGGCGAGUGCGGACGUACAGCAGCCUUUUGACAAGACUGUCGCCGAGUGUACGGUACAUUGUGGACUGUAAAGCUGAAGAGUGCACAGUGGAUGCCUGAUUUUGGAACCGAGUGUGAUCGUCUGGGCGGUGUGUUCACUCUGCGGGGAUGAUGGCCAGAGGAAGGAUGAUAGACAGACGACAGCUUGCAGACGAAGAUGGGAGCGUUCUACUUGUGAGCCUGGUCGAGCUUAUAUUUUAUGG
Rhipicephalus sanguineus (brown dog tick) is the source of this 487-nucleotide long non-coding RNA. RefSeq lists it as uncharacterized. The transcript is spliced from 3 exons. NCBI's taxonomy places the organism in Eukaryota, Metazoa, Arthropoda, Arachnida, Ixodida, Ixodidae. The record is from RefSeq and is a predicted model, not a curated record.